This is a non-coding RNA of Podarcis lilfordi (Lilford's wall lizard), 76 nucleotides long. NCBI's taxonomy places the organism in Eukaryota, Metazoa, Chordata, Lepidosauria, Squamata, Lacertidae. The record is from the annotation of a GenBank genome assembly.
GGAAGGGCUGUAGCUCAGUGGUAUGAGCAUCUGCUUUGCAUGCAGAAGGCAACAGGUUCAAUCCCCAGCCUCUCCA